AUGGACUUCGGUACUGAUGAGCGCCAACACAGCCAUGGCGACGGCGGCGACGCGGCGGAGUGGAAGAAGGUGGUGGAGCUGAGGGCCGUCGCCGAGGCCCAGGACCCCGCGGCCAAGGAGGAGGACGAUUUCGUGCUGCGCCGGUUCCUGCGUGCACGGGAUUACAACAUUGGUAAGGCGUCGAUGAUGCUCCUCCAGUACCUCGCCUGGAAGCGCGUCGCCAAGCCCCAUGGCUCCAUCUCUGACGAGGAGGUGCGCGGCGAGAUCGCAAAGAAGAGGGUCGACAUGCAGGGCUUUGAUUGUCUUGGUCGCCCCAUGGCGUAUAUCUAUGGCGCACGCCACUUUCCCGCCCGGCGAGACCUCGACGGAUUCAAGCGCUAUGUAGCCUAUGUCCUCGACAAAAUCUGCACGAGGUUGCCGGUGGGGCAGGAGAAGUUUGCGGCGGUGAUAGACUUGAAAGGGUGGGGGUAUGCAAACUGCGACAUCCGAGGCUAUGUGGCAGCGCUAGACAUCAUGCAGAGCUAUUACCCAGAGCGAUUGGGGCGUGUGUUCCUGAUCCACGUGCCCUACAUGUUCAUGGCCGCAUGGAAGAUGGUCUACCCCUUCAUCGAUGAAAAGACAAAGAAGAAGUUUGUGUUCGUCGCCGAUAGGGACCUCGAUGCCACUCUUCGGGAUGCCAUCGAUGAGUCCCAACUCCCCGAGGAAUACGGCAGCAAGCUCAAGCUAUAG
This 729-nucleotide ribosomal RNA is filed under the name Triticum aestivum (bread wheat). RNAcentral describes it as "partial small subunit ribosomal RNA". The record is from RNAcentral. Lineage: Eukaryota; Viridiplantae; Streptophyta; Magnoliopsida; Poales; Poaceae.